This 253-nucleotide ribosomal RNA is filed under the name uncultured bacterium. RNAcentral describes it as "partial 16S ribosomal RNA". It matches the Rfam family "Bacterial small subunit ribosomal RNA", at positions 524 to 776 of the family's 1533-position model. The record is from RNAcentral.
UACGUAGGGGGCAAGCGUUGUCCGGAUUUAUUGGGCGUAAAGAGCUCGUAGGUGGUUCGGUAAGUCGGAUGUGAAAUCUCCGAGCUCAACUCGGAAAUGGCAUUGGAAACUACCUUGCUCGAGGGUUGGAGGGGGGACUGGAAUACUUGGUGUAGCAGUGAAAUGCGUAGAUAUCAAGUGGAACACCAGUGGCGAAGGCGAGUCCCUGGACAACUCCUGACACUGAGGAGCGAAAGCCAGGGGAGCAAACGGG